RNAcentral lists this ribosomal RNA (210 nucleotides) under uncultured bacterium. RNAcentral's name for it is "partial 16S ribosomal RNA". It matches the Rfam family "Bacterial small subunit ribosomal RNA", at positions 568 to 774 of the family's 1533-position model. The record is from RNAcentral.
CACGUAGGCGGCCAAGUCAGUCGGGUGUGAAAGCCCUCGGCUCAACCGAGGAACUGCGCCCGAUACUGCUUGGCUUGAGGUCCGGGAGGGGAGAGUGGAAUUCCCGGUGGAGCGGUGAAAUGCGUAGAGAUCGGGAAGAACGCCGGCGGCGAAAGCGACUCUCUGGUCGGAAUCUGACGCUGAGGUGCGAAAGCUAGGGGAAGGCAAACG